GAAAUGCGAUAAUUAAUGUGAAUUGCAGAAUUCAGUGAAUCAUCGAGUCUUUGAACGCACAUUGCGCCCCCUGGUAUUCCGGGGGGCAUGCCUGUCCGAGCGUCAUUGCUGCCCUCAAGCACGGCUUGUGUGUUGGGCUUCCGUCCCUGGCAACGGGGACGGGCCCAAAAGGCAGUGGCGGCACCAUGUCUGGUCCUCGAGCGUAUGAGGCUUUGUCACCCGCUCCCGUAGGUCCAGCUGGCAGCUAGCCUCGCAACCAAUCUUUUUAACCAGGUUGACCUCGGAUCAGGUAGGGAUACCCGCUGAACUUAAGC
Molecule: unclassified non-coding RNA, 314 nt
Filed under: plant metagenome
Description: partial contains 5.8S ribosomal RNA, internal transcribed spacer 2, and large subunit ribosomal RNA
Rfam family: 5.8S ribosomal RNA (bases 1-105)
Source: RNAcentral